RNAcentral lists this long non-coding RNA (640 nucleotides) under Glycine max (soybean). RNAcentral's name for it is "long non-coding RNA (GMAX_LNC001195)". The record is from RNAcentral. Lineage: Eukaryota; Viridiplantae; Streptophyta; Magnoliopsida; Fabales; Fabaceae.
GCAAAUGUAUUUUCAUUUUCAUGAAACCUUUUGUGGGGUAUGCAGGAUAGUUCUGAAGAUCCUUCCAAGUCCAAUGCAGCGGAUGGUUCUAGUAAUCAUGCUGUAAACCCCAGUGAUGAGGUAGUUUUAAUCUCAGUCUCUUCCUCUGCACACACACACAGAAAUUCUUUUACAGAUAAUUUAGGGUGAUUCCAACAUCUUUUCUCUGUUAUUGAGAAAUUGAAAGCUUCUAAUUAAUGAAUUGUUAUGAUACUUGUCUAAUGGGUAUUGGGGUGAUUUUCUUGUUCAGGAAUUGCCUGAAACUGCAGAACACUUUACGAACGUUCUGCCACUGGGAAUUGGGCAUUCUUCAACAAAUGAGAAUGAACAGGUAUUCCUAUUUGAGUAAUCUUACCUACACAACUGUACAGGCGGCUUCAUCUGGGUUUAAAUAGCCCCACUUUACCAAUGAAACUUAAAAUGGAGCCAACUAUAAUGAGUAUGUAGGUAACAAAAUUCUUUAUAAGAUGCAUAUGAGUAGUUACCUCUUACGUGGGGUUUAUUUGAUCAACAGGAACCUCUGGUCGAGCUUUCUAAUCCUUCAGAUACAGAUAUUGAUAUUCCAGGAAACUUUGAUUAGAAGGUUCUAAGUGAUUCAUUA